RNAcentral lists this ribosomal RNA (458 nucleotides) under uncultured bacterium. RNAcentral's name for it is "bacterial SSU rRNA". It matches the Rfam family "Bacterial small subunit ribosomal RNA", at positions 35 to 507 of the family's 1533-position model. The record is from RNAcentral.
AGGGUGAACGGCUGGCGGCGUGCCUAACACAUGCAAGUCGAGCGGUGCAGUUUGAAGCUUCGGUGGAAAGCUGCAUAGCGGCGGACGGGUGAGGAAAACGUAGGAACGUGCCCCUUGGAGUUGGAUAGCCACGGGAAACUGUGGGUAAACCGACAUAGACUCGAGAGAGUAAAGGCCGAAAGGCGCCAAGGGAGCGGCCUGCGGCCCAUCAGGUAGUUGGUAGUGUAAAGGACUACCAAGCCGACGACGGGUAGCCGGUCUGAGAGGAUGGCCGGCCACAAGGGCACUGAGAGACGGGCCCUACUCCUACGGGAGGCAGCAGUGGGGGAUUUUGGACAAUGGGCGAAAGCCUGAUCCAGCGACGCCGCGUGGAGGACGAAGCCCUUCGGGGUGUAAACUCCUUUUCUCAGGGAAAAAGGAUGAUGGUACCUGAGGAAUAAGCCCCGGCUAACUACGUG